Molecule: ribosomal RNA, 495 nt
Filed under: uncultured bacterium
Lineage: Bacteria
Description: partial 16S ribosomal RNA
Rfam family: Bacterial small subunit ribosomal RNA
Source: RNAcentral
GACGAACGCUGGCGGCGUGCCUAAUACAUGCAAGUAGAACGCUGAAGGAGGAGCUUGCUUCUCUGGAUGAGUUGCGAACGGGUGAGUAACGCGUAGGUAACCUGCCUGGUAGCGGGGGAUAACUAUUGGAAACGAUAGCUAAUACCGCAUAAGAGUAGAUGUUGCAUGACAUUUGCUUAAAAGGUGCAAUUGCAUCACUACCAGAUGGACCUGCGUUGUAUUAGCUAGUUGGUGGGGUAACGGCUUACCAAGGCGACGAUACAUAGCCGACCUGAGAGGGUGAUCGGCCACACUGGGACUGAGACACGGCCCAGACUCCUACGGGAGGCAGCAGUAGGGAAUCUUCGGCAAUGGACGGAAGUCUGACCGAGCAACGCCGCGGGAGUGAAGAAGGUUUUCGGAUCGUAAAGCUCUGUUGUAAGGGAAGAACGAGUGUGAGAGUGGAAAGUUCACACUGUGACGGUAUCUUACCAGAAAGGGACGGCUAACUACGUG